Erinaceus europaeus (western European hedgehog) is the source of this 781-nucleotide long non-coding RNA. RefSeq lists it as uncharacterized. The transcript is spliced from 4 exons. The record is from RefSeq and is a predicted model, not a curated record. NCBI's taxonomy places the organism in Eukaryota, Metazoa, Chordata, Mammalia, Eulipotyphla, Erinaceidae.
UUUAAAUAUUGUGGACCAUUCUGUUCAUUCUGUUCUGUUAGCUCAUUUAGCUAACCAGUCUACAACAAUCUACAAAUAGGCCAACCAGUUUACAACAAACCAGAGAACAACCAGUCUACAAUUCUUUUAUGAAAAGGCCGAUUCGUAGCCACAGAGGAUUAUAUGAAAGUAGCCAGUUCAGAACUUUCUGCCGCUCUCCUGAAAUGCAUUUGAAAGGCAUGUAAGCUCAGACCAAGCAAAGAAUCAACAGUGAACCUUUAAAAAUUCUCCAGAUCAAAUGAUUUUUCUAUCUGUCAUAAUUCUCUAGCUGUACUACAAGCACCAUAAACUAAGUAAGCUUUCAGGUGGAAGUCGAAAGAAGUAAAGAAGACAAAUUCUGUUUUGCAGUGACAGUGAUGGGAAUAUGAAUCUCUGGACAAUACAGUGCAGCAAAGUAGCAGGAUGAAUGUUGACUAUCCACAAAAUUAGAUUCACCACUAAAACUAUACAGACAGCAGACAGAAAAAGGGUUAAAAAUGUCCAAGUGUGCAGACACAGGAUACACACAGAAAAGAUUGUGUGUCUGCUGGUGGACAUUUAGCCAAAGCAAAUCUCACUAAUUGACCGGAAGAAAUCUUCAAUCUCACUCUAUAUAGUAAGUUUCCCCUUAUACAUACGAAAACUGAAGUGUACAUGGACAUGAAAAAUGGGAUGCAAUUAAAAAACAAAACAAAACUCUGUUUGAAUCAAAGGAAUACCCAGAUUCUUAAAUGAAAAAUAAUAAAAAGCAACUGAGCAUUGA